UACGUAGGGUGCAAGCGUUAUCCGGAUUUAUUGGGCGUAAAGAGUAUCGUAGGCGACUCAUCAAGUUAUAUUUCAAAUACCGGGGCUCAACUUCGGAAAGGGAUGUAAUACUGUUGAGAUUGAAGGACAUCGGGGCUACUGGAACUUAUCGUGUAGGAGUGAAAUCCGUUGAUAUGAUAAGGAACACCAAGGGCGAAGGCAGGUAGCUAGAUGUCUCUUGACGCUGAGGAACGACAGCUAGGGUAGCGAAAGGG
RNAcentral lists this unclassified non-coding RNA (254 nucleotides) under uncultured Patescibacteria group bacterium. RNAcentral describes it as "contains 16S-23S intergenic spacer region". It matches the Rfam family "Bacterial small subunit ribosomal RNA", at positions 524 to 776 of the family's 1533-position model. The record is from RNAcentral.